UGUGCAUUGGAGGUGACGGUUCCGGCCUCCCG
RNAcentral lists this non-coding RNA (32 nucleotides) under Homo sapiens (human). The record is from RNAcentral. Lineage: Eukaryota; Metazoa; Chordata; Mammalia; Primates; Hominidae.